AUGGGUGCUACUAUUGACCGUUCGCUUGAUGGUACUUGCGGGCCUAAGAUCUUCAAGAUAAGUGGCCAGGUAACCCAUCAUAUAGGUUCGCUCCUGCCAAAAGGUGACGAUGACCCUAAAUUUGUUGAGAUGUAUAUACAUGACCCGUCUAACGAGAUUGAUCAUAGAAUAUGUGCUUUGAAUCCGGAGGAUAAGCCUGAUGGGGGUAUUGAUAGGAGUAUAGUUGUUGGUCUAAGAGACAUGCUUAACGAUUCCAAUCCAUUGGUUAAGACCUUUAGAGAGGCCAACAGUAUUAUAGAUAAUCCUGGUGAUGGGCCUGUUGAGGAAGUUUCGAUUCACAUAAUUGGUCCUUCGGAGGGUGACGGUCCACAAUAUAGUCUCCCUACUACUGCUGGGCUUGCUGCUUUAGUUGUUGGCGACUUUACAGGAGAGAGGUCAUCCAGGGAUAUAGUUUUUUCUAGUCGGUCGGAAGGUCUUCAGAGGAUCUCCUCCUUGAACACUGCUGUCAUGCCUUUGCAAUACCCCUUGCUUUUUCCUUACGGAGAGAGGGGGUUCCACAUAGAUGUUCCUCAUUUGAUUGUCCCUUCUCCUAGCGGUAGUAGGAAGAAUAAGAUGACUAUGCAAGAUUACUAUCGUUUUAUGUGCCAUUAUAAGGGUGAUCAGCCUAAGCCAUACUUGUGUUAUGGCCUGCUGUCUUCUCAGUCUGUUGUGGAUGCACGUGCAUGUAUCGAUGAGAACAGGCUUUGGUACAUACUGAGAAACCAAGACAUGCUUAGGGCUGAGCAUUUGCAAGGUAUCACCGAUGCCAUCAAUGAUGGAUGUGUUGAUAGUACUCUUAUUGGAAAAAGAACCAUACUGCCGGUCCCCGUUAUUACAAGGAAAUUUCCAAGACGGCCUUGCUAUAUGUCGGGUGCAUGGUGCUCCUGA
This 927-nucleotide ribosomal RNA is filed under the name Triticum aestivum (bread wheat). RNAcentral describes it as "partial small subunit ribosomal RNA". The record is from RNAcentral. Lineage: Eukaryota; Viridiplantae; Streptophyta; Magnoliopsida; Poales; Poaceae.